Molecule: non-coding RNA, 148 nt
Organism: Python bivittatus (Burmese python)
Lineage: Eukaryota; Metazoa; Chordata; Lepidosauria; Squamata; Pythonidae
Source: RefSeq, a predicted model, not a curated record
GGCUGUUCCUCCUAUCCUCCAUUCGAUCUGCACUCUUAUAUAUUCAAGAGCUGUCACUUCUUAUGAAGAUCUUGGUCUCUUUGCAUUUGGUCCACCUGGAAAGGUUAUUGUGGCCAGUACAAUCAUUAUACAGAACAUUGGAGGUAAG